RNAcentral lists this ribosomal RNA (497 nucleotides) under uncultured bacterium. RNAcentral's name for it is "partial 16S ribosomal RNA". It matches the Rfam family "Bacterial small subunit ribosomal RNA", at positions 28 to 507 of the family's 1533-position model. The record is from RNAcentral.
GAUGAACGCUGGCGGCGUGCCUAAUACAUGCAAGUCGAGCGAACAGACGAGGAGCUUGCUCCUCUGACGUUAGCGGCGGACGGGCGAGUAACACGUGGAUAACCUACCUAUAAGACUGGGAUAACGUCGGGAAACCGGAGCUAAUACCGGAUAAUAUAUUGAACCGCAUGGUUCAAUAGUGAAAGACGGUUUUGCUGACACGUAUAGAUGGAUCCGCGCCGCAUUAGCUAGUUGGUAAGGUAACGGCUUACCAAGGCAACGAUGCGUAGCCGACCUGAGAGGGUGAUCGGCCACACUGGAACUGAGCCACGGUCCAGACUCCUCCGGGAGGCAGCAUUAGGGAAUCUUCCGCAAUGGGCGAAGGCCUGACGGAGCAACGCCGCGUGAGUGAUGAAGUUCUUCGGAUCGUAAAACUCUUUUAUUAGGGAGGACCAAAUGUGUAAGUAACUAUGCACGUCUUGACGGUACCUAAUCAGAAAGCCACGGCUAACUACGUG